This 1519-nucleotide unclassified non-coding RNA is filed under the name Leishmania donovani. Its description in RNAcentral is "gene:LdHU3.29.0350(CDS-product:thymine-7-hydroxyl ase_putative)". Lineage: Eukaryota; Euglenozoa; Kinetoplastea; Trypanosomatida; Trypanosomatidae. The record is from RNAcentral.
CGCACACAUAAACGCCCUCGCAGGCCAUUCAUUUGCACCCCACCUCUGCUGUCCUCACACUCUCUCGCUCGCCCCCACCACCCCCUCGCCACCAUGCCCCUGCCAGUGAUCGAUAUUGCGCCGCUGUACAAUGACAACAAGGCGGACUUGUUGCGCGUCGCACACGCGAUCGACGAGGCAUGCCGCACGUGGGGCUUCUUCUACAUCACCGGACACCAAAUUCCGAAGGACCGCAGCGAACAGCUGACGAAGAUGGCAAACAAGUUCUUUGCUCUACCGCAGGAGGAGAAGCUGCGGAUCAACAUUGAGAAGACCUCGAACCACCGCGGCUACGGCACGUGUGCUGCAGAGCAGCUCGACCCCAGCAAGCCUGGUGACUGGAAAGAGACCUUCGACAUGGGCUUCCACCUGCCUCUGGACCACCCCUCUGUUGUUGCCGGCAAGCCGCUGCGCGGCCCGAACAACCACCCCACGUGGAUCGAGGGCUGGACGGAGCUGAUGGAGCAGCACUACAGCGAUAUGCAGCGCCUAGCUCUGCUGCUGCUGCGUGCGCUGGCACUCGCACUCGACAUUGACGAGGACUUUUUCGUGUCUAAGUUUCACGAGCCGCUGAGCGUGUUCCGCAUGAUCCGCUACCCCGCACUGCCGGAAGAGAAGGGCCGUGUGGUGUGCGGUGCGCACACGGACUACGGCAUCGUGACGCUGCUGUACCAAGACAAGGUCGGGGGCCUGCAGGUGCAGAACCUGCAGGGCGAGUGGAUGGACGCGCCAUCACUUGAGGGUAGCUACGUUGUGAACAUCGGCGACAUGAUGGCGAUGUGGAGCAACGGGCGGUACAAGAGCACGCCGCACCGUGUGCUAAACCAAGGCGUGGAGCGCAUCUCGAUGCCGUUCUUCUGCGAGCCGAACCCCGAGACAACGAUUUCCUGCCUGCCGAACUGUUUCGACGAGGCGAGCCCCUCGAAGUUUCCGGACGUGAAGGCCGCCGACUGGCUGCUGAAGCGCUUUCAACAGACGUAUGCCUACCGCGCGGACGACCUGAAGUCGCAAUAGGGUGGGCUGUGGAGCAACUGACACACUCAGCCGACGCCCCACCCGCACGUCCGCCUGCCCCCUUUUGCUCUCUCCCACCCCCCGCUCCACUUCACGUGCAGGGCUGCUGGAUGCUCCAUCCCCUUCUUCGCGUCCUUUGCCAAGCGCUGGGGUGAUGGCACCGCUACGCCCACGCACGCAGAUCUGAAGGUUCGAGGGACGCGUCCCCUGUUGACCACUCUAAUGAUAUUAAGGCCAAUGCGACUGCGCCGCCGCUGCGAUGACGCUCAGGACAACGCGUGCAGGCACACGCUAGGCCCAAUGACGGGUUGUGGGAGAACAUGGAAUGGAGAGCAAACAAAAAAACGGCGGGAAAGAGGGAGGCAGAAACACAAGGCGCUGCCCCUUCGAUGCCCUCCUGCAUUGUGCUGCCUCGUCUCCCAUCACAUCCCUCCCUCCCUCUCCCCUCGCCCCCUCCUCUGCAAAG